GACAGAGGGUGCGAACGUUGUUCGGAAUUACUGGGCGUAAAGCGCGUGUAGGCUGUUCGGAAAGUCGGGUGUGAAAGCCCUGGGCUCAACCUAGGAAGUGCACUCGAAACUCCCGAACUGGAGUCCCGGAGAGGAAGGCGGAAUUCUCGGUGUAGAGGUGAAAUUCGUAGAUAUCGAGAGGAACACCAGUGGCGAAGGCGAGUCCCUGGACACUUCCUGACACUGAGGCACGAAAGCUAGGGGAGCAAACAGG
Molecule: ribosomal RNA, 253 nt
Filed under: uncultured bacterium
Lineage: Bacteria
Description: partial 16S ribosomal RNA
Rfam family: Bacterial small subunit ribosomal RNA
Source: RNAcentral